This 1059-nucleotide long non-coding RNA is filed under the name Homo sapiens (human). RNAcentral describes it as "HSALNT0377613". The record is from RNAcentral. Lineage: Eukaryota; Metazoa; Chordata; Mammalia; Primates; Hominidae.
CUGGGUCUACAGGCAUGAACCACCAGGCCCAGAACCCUGUCUUUUGAAAGCCAUAUGCGAUCUGUCUGCCCUGAAGUGACUACUUCAUCUCCAACCAGCCCUUGGCUGGCAAAGUCAGGAAGACUCCAGUCUUUCCUGAAGACCAGGGGAGAGUUUAUAACUCUAGCAUCAAAGUCAGCAGCUGUUCAUCUAGAAGACAACUUCCCAAAAGUCAAUGUCUUUGCCUGAAGCUUUUCUUCCCAGAUCUCCUAUGGUGAAACAACCAAAGGGAAGAAGAAUGUGGGCAGCCCUCAGUAAGACAGGAGAUGAGCAUCAACAUUGACCCAUUCUUUCUUCCAGUCCUCGAUGCUUACCUUGUACAUUCUUCUUUGUCUUCCGACUCAGUGCCUUUAGGGUAUGGACGUUGCCUGGUCCCACACAAGCCAAGCAUCAAAUGGAUGGCUCAACAAGGAGGCCAAGACCAGCUAAUGUUUAGUGAGCACCCAAAGGGGCCACACUGGAGAGAACAGCACAGCUCCGUCUGAGAAACAGCUGUUCCUUCCUGCCUGAGAGGCAGAGUGAUAGAAGAUAUCACAGAAUGUUGCUGCUUUGUCUUCCACCCUGAACCCUCCACGACCUCCCUGUAGCUUCCUGAUUUUAAGUAGACAUCAAAUGAUUCUUAAUCCUUUCUGGGUCUUGGAACGAUUUGAAAAUUGUCAACAGUACUGGGAUUCCCAGAAUAAUGCACAUAUGUACAUACUCAGAUAUUCCCCAAGCCCUGGAUAUAAUUUUAAGGGAGUUCACAGACCACACUCCCCCACCCAUCUGUGGACCCAGAUUCUGUGGGUUCGAGAUUCAGAAGCCCUGUUUCUAGGCAGGCCCUCUGUUGCUAACGCCCCUCGAGAACAUCACCCUAGAUGAUUAUCCCUUCUUCCUCCACUCCUUCCCACCUUCUCCAACUGCUGGGUUUCAGCACAAAGAUUGCUUGCCAGUUAAACUGGCACCAUGGACCGCACAGUAGUUGUUUCUUGGGUCUAGAGGAAACAGCCAGAUUCCUUUAAGUAAAUCAUGUCUUAGUUA